Molecule: transfer RNA, 74 nt
Filed under: Varroa jacobsoni
Lineage: Eukaryota; Metazoa; Arthropoda; Arachnida; Mesostigmata; Varroidae
Also listed under: 1 other name
Description: tRNA-Ile
Rfam family: tRNA
About the family: Transfer RNA (tRNA) molecules are approximately 80 nucleotides in length.
Source: RNAcentral
UCCCCGGUGGCGUAAUUGGUUAACGCGCGGUACUUAUGAUGCUGAGAUUGUGAGUUCGAAUCUCACCUGGGGAA